AAAGCACUUGUUUUUUUACGUUUUUGGUAUCACGUUUUAUGCUUUUCGAAUGAGAUUUUAAUGAAUGUAAAUGUUAGCUUUUAGCCAACUGAAAAUUGAAGUAGAUAAAACAGG
Sitophilus oryzae (rice weevil) is the source of this 114-nucleotide long non-coding RNA. RefSeq lists it as uncharacterized. Lineage: Eukaryota; Metazoa; Arthropoda; Insecta; Coleoptera; Curculionidae. The transcript has 2 exons. The record is from RefSeq and is a predicted model, not a curated record.